UUGAUCUAAAUUGAUGGACAUAGGGACGGCCAUACUGCGUCAGACCAAUGGUCCAUCUAGCCUACUAUCUUGUCUUCUGGCAGUGGUCAAUGUGAGGUGCUUCAGAGUGAGUGAACAAAACAGAUAAUCAUCAAGUGAUCCAUCCCGUCGCCCAUUCCCAGUUUCUGGUAAACAGAGGCUAAGAACACUUCAGAGCAUGGA
Long non-coding RNA from Dermochelys coriacea (leatherback sea turtle), 201 nucleotides. RefSeq lists it as uncharacterized. The transcript is spliced from 3 exons. The record is from RefSeq and is a predicted model, not a curated record. NCBI's taxonomy places the organism in Eukaryota, Metazoa, Chordata, Testudines, Dermochelyidae.